GGGUGCGAUCAUACCAGCACUAAAGCAUUGGAUCCCAUUAGAACUUCGAAGUUAAGCGUGGUUGGGUGAGAGUAUAUCUAGGAUGGGUGACCCCUUGGGAAAUCCUCGUGUUACACUCC
Molecule: ribosomal RNA, 119 nt
Filed under: Musa acuminata subsp. malaccensis (wild Malaysian banana)
Lineage: Eukaryota; Viridiplantae; Streptophyta; Magnoliopsida; Zingiberales; Musaceae
Source: RNAcentral